This 9898-nucleotide long non-coding RNA is filed under the name Gossypium barbadense (sea-island cotton). RNAcentral describes it as "long non-coding RNA (GBAR_LNC015839)". The record is from RNAcentral. Lineage: Eukaryota; Viridiplantae; Streptophyta; Magnoliopsida; Malvales; Malvaceae.
CCGAACUUGGGGUGGUGGAAAUACUUGGGAGGAAGCUUGGGAAGCGGAGGGCACGGCUUCUUCGUAAAUGGAGGAAUCUUCGGAAGAGGAGGAAGUGGCUUGUGAGGAAUAGGAGGGAAGGGUUUCGGUUUGUAAAUAGGAACCGGCGGUGGAAGCGGCUUCUUAUAAACCGGUACCGGAUGAGGCUUAUAAACCGGUGGUUUGUAGACAGGAACCGGCGGUGGAAGCGGCUUCUUGUAGACCGGCACCGGAUGAGGCUUAUAAACCGGUGGUUUGUAGACAGGAACCGGCGGAGGGAGUGGUUUCUUGUAGACCGGCACCGGGUGAGGCUUAUAAACCGGUGGUGGAAGAGGUUUCUUGUAGAUGGGAGGGUGAGGGUAAUGAUGGUGGAAGCUUUUCAAUGGCGGAAGUGGUGGAAGCUUAGGCAAUGGAGGGAAGUUGUGGUGGUGGUGAGGCCAAAAGGAGGCUGAGACACAUGUUAUUGGUGAGAAUUUGAGGUUCUCUUUUAACCCAAACUGGUGUUUCUGGUCGGUGGUGGAUUUGAAAACUAGCUUAGAGGAUUCUAAGCCAUUAAUGGAAGGGCAAGGUUGAGGUGAUGAUACAGUGCGAAGCUGUGCGUAGCAAUGUUCAUUCAAUUUGCCAUCUUUGAACAAGUGUUGUGGAAGAGAGACUUUGAAAUUGCCUUGUUUGUCAAGCUUUCCAGACCCUCUGGUUUUGAAAUGGUCACCAUUUUCUGGCUUGCAAUCUAUGGUUACACGAAGACCUAGAAAGAGAAAACGCCAUUAUCAUAACAUCAUAAAUAUUGCUUCAAAUUAAAGAAAGGGAGAAUACACCAUUAACAUAACAUCAUAAAGUUUAAUUCUCUAAUGUUAACAAAAUGUUAGUGUGAUGGUUCACUGGUAGAUUUAUACACUAAUAAUGAAUCAAAUAAAAACCUCUUUUUACUAUUUUUUAGAGCUUUUGCCUUACUCGUGACUAAAAUUUUUAAAUUUUUGGGGAGAAGUGUAUCUUUAUUUAAGCAGCUUUUUGUUUUAUGUAUAAGGUGUAAUGCAGAUUUAUCCCUAUCAUGAGUGCUUGAGUAUCAACUCUUUAAUUGACCAUCGUCAAUACAAAAGUAUGUACAUAUAAUUGAGUUUGAACUUGGAUAUGUAUGUAUAUCAAUCUUAGUGUAAUAAUAUGUGUGUUGAGGAGAGGUCGCGCUUUGGGCCAAUCUUGGACCCUCAAUGAAGGUAUUGUUCUCUGGAUUUCUAUACUCGGUUUUAACUUUGAGUUUUUGUCUCAUAACUUUGAAGGGAGUCCAAAAGGGUUCGCGAAAUUUGAUGGAGCGCCUACUCCACCAAAGAAAUGUUUAACAUUUGGCCUUAAUGGGUUUUGAACUCAUGCCCUUAUAUGGCAUUAGUGGGUAAGAACUAGAUCUGUUCAUGGGUCGGGUUAUCCGCUUAAGCCUAAAGGCCCAUCAGAAAUUUGAAAGGGUUUGAGUAAAAAAUUAGGCCUGAAAAAUAGAUUUGGACAAAAAAAUAGGCCAAUUUAUAAUAUGGGUCGGGCUCGAGGCUUGAACAUUCAAGGCCUGAGCCUGACCCGACCCAUUUUUAAGUUUAUAAUAUUUUAUAUUAUGUUAUUUUUAUAUAUUAUAUAAUUUAGAACACAUUAAAAAAAAUAAACCUAUACUAAAUAUAUAAUACUACUCUAAUGUAAAUAUUAAAAUAAAGUUCAGAUGACUAUAUAAAAAUUUUCAAUAAAUUAAAAAAAGUAUAAAAUUAUUAAAUAUUAAAAUAAUAUAAUAUAAAUAUUUUUAAAAAAUUUAAAAAAUAAUAUGGGUGGACCUAAAAUAGGCUUGGGUUAGUCUUUUGCAAAUAUGGGCUUGUUUGAGUAAAAUUUUAAGCCUAUAUUCCGGGUCGGACCAGGCUUGGACAAGCAUAAAGUAUGUUAAUAUCAUGCCUAAGCCCGACUCGAACCUAUGAACACCUCUAGUAAGAACAUUACCGUGAACUUUCUUAGGCUCUCCUUAAAAUACAAGUGACAAAACUCAGAUAAUCAAACAUCAACACCCACAAACAAUACUUCUGAGGAUCCGGAACCGACCCAAACAACUAACUCCCCCCAGCAAUAUAGGCCACUACAACAUGCAAGGAAUGGCCUCGAAAUUAAUUGAGCAGCUUAGAUGAAAACAAUACCUGAAAAUGCUUGGGUGGUGUCCAAGUUAUUCUCUUUGCAAUCUGUGCAUUCACCAACCCCGACCACUUCAACUGUUUUACCAUCACCGUUAGCAUUGCAAAAUGUGGUCACAAAUAAUAAUGACCAUACUGUGAACGCCACAAGUGCUCUUCCUCGAAACUCGAGGUUCUCCAUUGUUAUUGCUUCUGAGGUAGUGAUAUGAUAUCAGAGAUUGGAUACCAAAGCCUUAUUAUAUAAUGGUGUUCAAAAGGGAUCAUGGGAUCACCAUUUUCAAUGGCUUACCGACACCACACUUAAAUGCCUCACAUAAGGUUAGGGAACGGGACCCUCACCACCUCUUUGAGAUGACUUUGGUGUAGACACGUAGUUUAAACUUUGGUUUGAUAUGAUCAUCAUAAAAAAAAUUAAUAAUUUAAAUUUGAAAUGAUUUUGUUGAGUAUUUUUAUUGUGUAUUUUCUUAAUGGGUGAAACAGAUAUUUAUUUGAUAUGGUUACUGUUCAUGGAAUUGACGUUCUAGGUAAGCUCCAUGCAUAUCGACACGUAUUCUACUCUAGACUUAACACGUGUUUGUUGGUCCAGGUGCUCGCCAGUUCAUUCAUUUAGCUUUGUACCCUGUGCGAACUGUGCUCGCAAGCCCUCCCCGUGAGCCCCUUAACGACUCCACCUGGUGGGGUCCAAACUCGGGUCGUAGGUCGGUAGCUCGGGUUAUAUUCGAGUUUCAGGUUGGCAAUUGGAUAUCCCACAAUAGAUCUAAUUCGAAAAUUGAGCUUCAAAUUUAAAUGAUUUGAACCUAAAACAACCCGAAAUUGAAAUGGCUCGAACUUAAAACAAGUUAAACUCAAAAUGAUUCAAACCCAGAAUUAAUUUGAAAAAUCGAGAUAACUCAAUCUAGACUGAUUGGUCUAAAACUGAUCCAACCCACUCAAUUUAUAAGUGAAUUCGGUGUAAUGGUUUGAAAAAGAUUGUGAUGUUACCUGAAUGACCCGAACCCAAAAUAACUGGAAAUUAAAAUGGCUCGAACUUAAAAUUGUUCGAAUCUAAAAUUGAUUCAAACCCAAAAUUAACAUGAACUGAAAUAAUUUUAAAAUUUUAAAAUUCGAAUUAACCCGAUCUGAAUUUGCUUUGAUCUAAAACUAAUUCAACCCACUUAAAUUACAAGUGAAUUUAGUGUAAUAGUUUGAAACCAAAACAACUUUAAAUUAAAAUGAUUUGGACCUAAAAUAAUUCGAAUUCAAAGUAAUUUAAACUCAAAAUUAAUCUGAAAAUUGAUACGAUUUAAAUUAAUUUGAUCCAAAACUAACCCGACCCACCUAAUUGACAGAGUGUUUAGUGUAAUGGUUUGAAAAAGAUAGUAAUGUGCCACAACCCCACAACCCCACAACCAUUUGUUGAAUUAAGCUAAUGAUAGUAUCUUUCAUUGAAUGAGCCCUCAACUGCACAACGAACAGCUAAAUUAUGCUUUGUGUUUUCUCAUCUGCAUUUUAAAACCUACUUACUAACUUUCAUAAAUAAUUUUUUCUAUAUUUACACAAUUCUUUGCUGAAUUACAAAAAUGGUCCUUCAAUAUUCAACUUAAUUUGAAUUAUUUAAAUUGUGCAACAUAUGAAUUUCGAAUAAAUCAACCACACAAAUGCCAACCAAUUUAAUUAUUACUCAAAAAAACCACUUGCUUUCUAAGUUGUUCUUAGUCAUCACUAUCAUAAUUAAGCUCAUUUUGUGAGACAACCCUUUGACUAUUUUUCAUCUAAUAAAUAUGGGGUUCAUCCAUGUGGCCAUGAAUUUGCAAGUCCCCCCCCCCUCCCCGCCUUUGAUCCAAACUUGGGCCAAACCCUAAUCCUUGAAUUUUACUUUUAUUAUUGAAAGCACAUGGUGGAGGUGGACCCUUUCUUUGACCAUCAAAGAUAAUCUAGUAACUUUGCCAAAAGAGGUCUCUAGAAAUGAAACCAUUUGUUGUAGAUUGAAGGUAGAUAGGGUAACCUCAGAUAAUAUUAUAAUUCACCCUAAUGGAUUAAAGAAAAUCGUUCUUCUUGAAUUUGAUUUUCAAAGCAUACUCCGAAGUUUAAGUGAGAGUCGGAGAGAGAUAAGAAACAAACUAACUAGUGCCGGUACGUUUAAUAUCGUCUUAUUUUUUUGUGAACCGUCUCAUUUUACUCUAAAACAUAAUGUCAACUAAUAAGGAUGUGACACGUAGCACGUUUACAUUGGACGUCAUACACUUUUAGGGUAAAAUGAAAAGAAAUUGAUAGUUUAGAUAUCACUUUUGAUUAAAAAAAAUUAGGUACUUAACUGAGGAAAACGAUAUAAAUUGAGAGUCAAUUUUGUAAUUAAGCAAAAAGAAAAACAUCUUUCACAUAAAUUAAUGGCAAUGCUGGAUUUAGUUACACUUCUUUUUCACAAAUCGGUUUUCAAGUGAUGUGAUUACCAUGUGAUUAAAAGGAAAAACAAAAUCAAUCAUGGAUUUAAAUGUUGAAAAUGUAGUUAUAGGUCACAUACAAAAAUGUAGGGUCAAACAUUACUUAAAUAUUUUUCAAUUAAGGACAACAUUAUGCACCUUAAUAUUUGGUGAGAUGGAGUUUCCCUAUCAAGCUUGCUAAUUAGUAGGGUAAAGGUGUAUUCAUGUAAUCUUAUAUUUUAACAAAAGUUGUGAAUAUAGACCAAUAAAUCUAUUUAUAAAUUGAGUUGGGUCAAAUUUCGUAAUAAAAUCUUGAUGAAAGUUAUUACUUAUAGGUUUUCAUACCAAGGGCACAAUCAAAUUAAGCUCGUAGGGUCUACCAAUUUCGUUAUUAAGAUCUCAUUAAGAUACCUUUCUCCCUCCUUUCCCCUCCUUUCAUUUGUUUACUUUCUUUUGUUUAUUUAUUGGCUUUGUUUUGAUGUGAAACUGUUGAAUUUAGUAGAUAUAGAUACAGAUUCUUAUAUCGAAGGGUCUUUACCUAUUUUGUUUUGUUUGUUUAUCAUCUUUCGUCCCUAUCAGAGACCCAUAUUUAUUUUUAUUUGGUCCAAUCAGAAAACAUUUUAUCAUUUCUGUAUUCGCAAUUCAAUAUAGAUAGAUAUUCCAUAACAUAUCUAUGUCCCUCUUACUCUCAAUUUUCUCAGGCAAUUUGGUGGAAUACUCGAACGGUCGAUUUUUUUUUUCGUCUUAGCUUCUGUCUUUAUGAUCUGGAUUUCAUUUCUAUGGGUUGCAAUUUUUUUUCUUUAAUGUCAUUUUUAUUCUUAUAUAUAACCAUAACAGGAAUAGGAUAACUAAAAAAAAAUAAAAAUAAAAAUUGAAUUUAUUAUUAUUUCUUUAUUUCUUUAUAGUAUAAUAGCUAGAACUAAUUAUUUAUAUUUAAUAAAUACAACUAAUUAUCCAUUCAUUUCUAUUUCAAAUUCGAAAAUAAUUCAAAUUUUUUAGUUUAAAAAGAGUUCCCAUUCUAAUUAUCUAUACUUAUAACGUAUCAUUUCAUUUAUAUAAUGAUAAUAUAUAUAAAUACAUAAAAAUAUUUGGACUCUAAUUAUAUCUAUGCAGAACUCUAAGCUAAAUAAAAAUAAAUUUAAUCUAUAUUAAAUCUAUUAAAUUGAUCGAUUAAAUAAAUUCUAUAUAAUUUAGAAAAUAAGAAUAGAGUCAGUAAUAUUAGGAAUAAUUAAUAUAGAAUAUACUAAUAGAACCAAGAUAUCAUUUGUUUCUAAAUUUAAAUGGAAUUUGAGAUUUAAUAUUUGUAAUUAAAAUUUAAAAAAAAUUAAAUCAUCCCAUUUUUUACUAAAAAUAUUUGUAAUUCAAUAAUUGACGUGGACAAUAUUUUCUAUUUAAAUUUUAAAUUCAAAAAAUAUAUACUUGAUAGUAAAUAUUAAUAAUGUGAAUGAUUGAAGUGAGACUAGCCACAUAUUUUAAAAUUUAAGUUGAUAUUAAUAUUUAUACAUUUUAAAUAAUUAAUAAUAAUUGGACGGAGGAAGUCUAGUGACUAGUCUUUUGAGUUUUGACUUAUAGAUCUGCCCCUUAAGGGGGUUUUUAAUGUAUGACUAAUAUAAUGCCGAAAAGUUAGGUGAUAAGAAAAAAGAAUUUCUUUUAGCCCAACUUAUUGUCUAAUUCAAUACAAAUAAAUCAAUAUAUUUCAGAUAAAAAUAUUAAUAUAUUUGGAACUUAGAUAAGGCUUAGUGACAUGGAUAAAGCUAGAAAAUUGUUUCAAGAGGAAUUAGAGAUGAAUAGUAAAUUAUUAAAGGGUUAAGAUGUAAUUUUAUCAUUAUAAUAAUAUGUAAUUUUUAUAAAAAAAAAAAUUUGAAGGGAUUAAAUGACAAAGGCCUCUUCGUCCUGCUGGAACUUAAAUUCAGAUUAAUCUAAAAGAGAAUCUAGGCCAGACAUUUGUAUCAGAUGAUAUUCGAAUCUAAACCACCGACUUCAACCUGACCAACUAUGACACAUUAUUCGUACGUCUAUAAAUUGGAAUGGUAAUAAAGUUGAAAAUUAUGUGUUGUGAUUGGACCUAUCUUUGGGGUUGCUUUUUUUGCCUACGUGAGGGAAUCCUUAAUAGAGAAAGCUUCGGGCAGUAUUCGGGUAUAAGGUGGGGAUUGUUUUGGUACUUUUGCUUCGUAGGGUUCACGGUGGAUUUCAGAACAUGAUUUAAUUUGCCUGAUUUGAAUGAUUUUUCUAAAAUAAAAUAAUGACUUUUUGCUGUUUCGGUAUAAGUAUUUUUCUUUUUUUCUUUUUUCUUUUUCUUUUUUUUUUUUUGAGUUGAUUUAGAAUUAGAUGAAAUUGAUUUUGAAUUUAAAUCCAUUUCUAAUUUAAAUUUAAAAAGGUUCAAACUGUUUCGAAUUCAAUUUAAGACUUGCUUUUUCGGAUCAAUUCAAAUCCAUUUGAGUUCAAGUUCAAUAGGUUCUAAUUUGUUGAUUUUUUUUUAUCACUAAAUUGAUUGUGAAAUUUAGGUUCAAAUUCCAAAUUCGAUAAUUGAUCACUAGAAAUGUAAGUUAAAAAAUCAACAUGUUUAAACCUGAAAUCGAUUACAAAAGGAACAUAACAAGGGAAUUUAAUGUAUACUUCCCAAUAGCAGUGAAAACGUGACAGCGGCUGUGACCAAGGUUUCUAACACACCACCACCACACUGAUAAUACUUAAGUUUAACCCAGAAACCAAAAAUCCGAAAUCCGAUGAACAAAGAAACCGAGAAAAAAAAAAGAAGUAAAAUUAGUCCUGCCUCGUAUCACAGUUAGUUUCGCUUCUACAAGCCUCGAUUUAAGCAUCCUCAAGAAAAGAUGUAGUGAAAACCGAAAAAGUUCAAAUGCUACAACAGCAAAGGUAUAUAUGUCUAUUUUCCUGGCCUAAUUCUCAGAACUACCUGCGCCCUCACUUACAAUUUUUCCAAAUGCCUUGGCAAGAGUUACAAUAGCCCGAAUUUAGCGAUCACUUUUCUCAUCUACUUCUUCUUCUUUGAUUUGGAAGCCGACUGAGUGUAAGCAGUUCCCUGAAAAUUAUGACGACCAAAACCAGAAAUUGUCAGUAACACUCCUAUAUAGAUCAUUAUUUGAUGAAGUCCCAUGGUGAACUCAUGAAUAACCUCAAUCAUAUCCAUUGAAUAAACAGAUAACGAGCUCUUGGGGACAAGAGCAGUGAAAAGAAAAUCUAGCUAAAAUAGAAAGAAUGGGAAGUGAUGAUGAUGAUGAUGUGAUGCAUAAGCCAAGACAUAACCUGAAGCCAUUCAUCCAGUGAAGCAUCGGGAGCCCUGGUCCCAACUUCCACCUUUGGAGCCCUCUUAGUUUUCUAGCAAAAUAAAUAAGUCAAAACACAUUAGCUUUAUUCCACAAAAAGAAGCAUAAAACACAUAAAGUAACACUGCAAAUUGAAGCUUUCUUCAAUUUAAGAACAAAAUAUCACGGAUAUUUAACAUUUUCACAGCAAAACAGCUUGCUGAAAACUUGAAAUAGGUCAUGAAUGCUAGAAACCUAGAACAAUGUUGAUUUCCCUACAUGUAUGCAUGGAUGUGCUCUUUUAAUUUCUAUCAGCAAAAGCCUUGUUACAUCGAUCUUAUAAUAACUGGAUACUGCAGUGAAUUAAUAUAACAAUAGCAAGGUAGCACAACUACAAUACCUUGGUGAUACGCUGAAAUUGACCGUGAAGCCACAAACCAAGGAGAACAAGAAGUGCAAUCCCAAGGGUAACAAGGAAAACGGACUCAACACUGAGGAAACCACCAGCCUCAACAACUUCAAUGGUACCAUUAUAGAAUGUACUUUGGUAUGGUUGCUGAUCAAUAUCAUAGAUAAUCGAACCCACAAGAUCAAAAGUUCCAGGCUGCAGCAAAAUUCUGGAUGUGUAAGCUCUACCGCAACUGUACUUCUCACAGAGAAUUUAUAUACGGUACCAAGGCAUAAAUCUCACGGAGUAAUCAUUUACCUGUAAGUACUUGCUAACAGCAAAUACGUAAGGGAAAGUAGCUUGAACUGAAGGGGGUACAGUUGCAUUGUUGAAAGCCUACAUUAACACAGACAUAUUCAGUUCUAGAAUCUACAAGGAAACAUCACAAGGCAGCUUUCAUGCAACAACAUAAGCUGUAAAACUCCAAAAUUACAAGGAGCAUGACCAACUUUGUACCAACAGAGAGCCUUGAGAUCUUUUUCAAAUAAAGAAGCAAAGAUUUGAUAAUGAAGUAGGCAAAAAAAAAAAAAAAAAACAGCGCAGCAUUAUUAUUGCAAAACGACCAGUUAGAGCAUGAAUGCCUUACAUGCUCAAUUUCAUAUCUGAAAAUCAUUGUAAGGUCUACAAUUAAAAGUUAAAGAUACAGCAAAAUCUACACUAGUACCAAACCCUCUGCUAAAGUUUCUUAAACUGAGAUAUAUAACUUCUCAGUGCAAGUUCAACAUCCCUCCACCAUAUUAACAAGCACUGGUUAAAAUAAUUGACUCUACUAUAAGACUAUAACUGUUAUAGCCUAUUAGUGUAGGGAAGCAGUUACAAAUGAAACACAAACUAGUGUCGCAAUGCAUAAAACUCAUAUUAUUGACCAUAUGUUUGACAAUGGAUAUUUAAAACAUCCAAUAAGAUAUCAUAUCAACAUGAGAGCAUGCAUGUUUCAAUGCUCAUGGGGUUAAGCUGGCUUGUCAAGCCUCAAGUAAUGAAGGCUUAAAUAGAGAAUAACUCUUUAGUUAUUAUUAGGUAUCCUAUAGGCAAUGAUCUAGUAGUAUGAAGAUUGGGGCACCUAAUAACUGAAAUUAAAACCCUUUCUGUGCUAGCUUUGCUAGGUUAGAAAGAGAUAAUGUUUCUACUUGGUGGCAAACAACCACUGAAUUGUACUGGUCGCUGGCUUUGUACUGAUGACGGUAUUAUUAAUAAAUGACCAUACAACCGCACUCUUUUUCCACUCUUCAUUUAGAAUAGUGGUUUUUUAGUGGGGCACAUUUUUCAUUAAAAAAUCAAUGAAUGCUAAAUUGUAUUUUAUAAAACAAACUCACUGAAUGAUUAAUUUUAUUUAUCAAAACUAAAGGGCUAGAUACUAAAUUAUAAAAAGCUCUUCAGUUAGGAAAUAAUAGAAAUUAAUCAAAAUGAAAACUGAACUAACUAAUGUAUCAGGAGUAUUUGAAAAUGUUAAACCAGAACAAUAUCAAGAAACUCUAUGAUUACCACUGCUGUAAGAUUUUGAACAAGCAUACGGUGAUCAAAAGGGAGAUGAACACUGGCUUUGAUAGCAAUGACAUUCACAGGUGACUCCCCUGCAAUUUAAAGAAGUAAGCUAUGCAUAAGAGUGAAGGAAACCUCAAA